ACAACUAUUGUGCAUCGCCUUUGUAUUGACUUGGGCAAGAGUGGCUUGUAUGGAUUCAAUGAUCCAUGUUUCAUUCAGAGUGAAUGUGAUUCUAUUGGGGCUCAAAAAUACAUACAAAAUAAGUUGCAGCAGGAUCAAAAAGAGUGUUAUCUGUUACCUUAUCUCAACAAAGCUUUGGGUGAAUAUAAUAAGUUGCGAAGAUUAAGAAAGAAUAAGCCCACAUAGAGCAUUUCCACUCGCCAAAGACAACCUAAAGGUUAUGAGUGUGGUUACUACAUUAUGAUACAUAUGUUGAACAUUGUAUCUAGUGGCCUUGUUGAUUCAUGCAUGCGGAUAUUUGGAGACUCAAAACCAUUCGAAGAUGAAGAAAUGAUGAAUGUCUGACAACGUUGUGCAAACUUGAUUCUUGAACUAAUAGAAAAUACUUGAAGCAUUUGUAUCAUUUUAGUAUCUUUAGACUAUUAAUAGAAGAUAAUGUUUUUGUUUUUAACUAGUGAAUA
Molecule: non-coding RNA, 500 nt
Organism: Cicer arietinum (chickpea)
Lineage: Eukaryota; Viridiplantae; Streptophyta; Magnoliopsida; Fabales; Fabaceae
Source: RefSeq, a predicted model, not a curated record